AUUGAACGCUGGCGGCAGGCCUAACACAUGCAAGUCGAGCGGUAGAGAGGUGCUUGCAUCUCUUGAGAGCGGCGGACGGGUGAGUAAUGCCUAGGAAUCUGCCUAGUGGUGGGGGAUAACGUUCGGAAACGGACGCUAAUACCGCAUACGUCCUACGGGAGAAAGCGGGGGGAUCUUCGGACCUCGCGCCAUUAGAUGAGCCUAGGUCGGAUUAGCUAGUUGGUGAGGUAAUGGCUCACCAAGGCGACGAUCCGUAACUGGUCUGAGAGGAUGAUCAGUCACACUGGAACUGAGACACGGUCCAGACUCCUACGGGAGGCAGCAGUGGGGAAUAUUGGACAAUGGGCGAAAGCCUGAUCCAGCCAUGCCGCGUGUGUGAAGAAGGUCUUCGGUUGUAAACUGCUUUGUACGGAACGAAACGGUGAGCUCUAUACAGUUGUCUAAUUGACGGUACCGUAAGAAUAAGACACCGGAC
This 475-nucleotide ribosomal RNA is filed under the name uncultured bacterium. RNAcentral's name for it is "bacterial SSU rRNA". It matches the Rfam family "Bacterial small subunit ribosomal RNA", at positions 30 to 499 of the family's 1533-position model. The record is from RNAcentral.